This 788-nucleotide long non-coding RNA is filed under the name Zonotrichia albicollis (white-throated sparrow). RNAcentral's name for it is "lncRNA (ENSZALG00000007605.1)". Lineage: Eukaryota; Metazoa; Chordata; Aves; Passeriformes; Passerellidae. The record is from RNAcentral.
GAAGAUAAGAAGACAAAUAAAUGGAAGAAACAGGAUAUCUCUGUUGGCAGUACAACAUCUUGUGCUUUCCGUGGAAUGAUCAGCUCCUACAGCAAAUUCAUCAUCUCCUUUGCUGAGGAUGAAGCAGGUGAACUGUAUUUUAUGUCUACUUCUUAUCCCAGUGCCUAUACACCAUGUGGAUUGCUCUACAAGCUCAUCGAUCCUGCAAGAGACUGUCCUUGAGCUGCAAAAUGAACCUUCAAGAACCAUGCCUUCAAAAAAACCUUCUACCCUCACUGCAGCCACCCCAAGAGUUUCUUCUAAGAAAGCAAAAAAGACCACAUUCACCAAAGUAAAAGCAUCAACAGGAAAACCAGCUCCAUCUGGUAGAGACAGAGAAUCAAAGCUGAGGCUAAACCUCAUAAGGGAAAGAAGACUGGACUCAACUCCAGAACUGCACCAGCACCACCUUUGCCAAAAAUGAAGAGCUCCCACCUAGCCAGAAUCAAGGAAGUUCUUCCAAAGAAAGCAGCACUACCUGAGGGAAAAGUGGAGAAGACAAGCAAAAUAGCUUUUAAAGCUCAGUGAUGUCCCAGAAAAAGCAAGUAGCUUAUAAAAUGGUGCAACAAAAGUGUUGAAUAGUGAUCAAAUGAAAGAAGAUUUUGGCUGACUUGUUAUGGUACGCUCCCAGGUGUGUCCCUAUUAAUGGCAGUGUUAGCAGUCUCUACAUAUGUUCUAUUAAACAUUAAACUUUAACAGCACCACCUUCCAAGUCCUGCUGUGAUGUCCUUUUCUGACAUAAGCGGUUA